UUGACCUCAAAUCAGGUAGGACUACCCGCUGAACUUAAGCAUAUCAAUAAGCGGAGGAAAAGAAACUAACGAGGAUUCCCUUAGUAACUGCGAGUGAAGUGGGAAAAGCUCAAAUUUAAAAUCUGGCAGCGUCUGGUUGUCCGAGUUGUAACCUAGAGAANUGCANCCUGUGCUGGACCAUGUAUAANUCUCCUGGAAUGGAGUGUCACANAGGGUGAGAAUCCCGUGUUCGACAUGGACUGCCAGUGCAUUGUGGUGUGCUCUCAAAAGUCGAGUUGUUUGGGAAUGCA
This 290-nucleotide ribosomal RNA is filed under the name Amanita pseudovalens var. tartessiana. RNAcentral describes it as "partial 28S ribosomal RNA". It matches the Rfam family "Eukaryotic large subunit ribosomal RNA", at positions 1 to 284 of the family's 3401-position model. Lineage: Eukaryota; Fungi; Basidiomycota; Agaricomycetes; Agaricales; Amanitaceae. The record is from RNAcentral.